CGUGGGGAGCCUCAUCCAACCUAGUUGGUUCUCCAGUGGCAGGCCAUCCUAGCAGCGGAGAGGACCAAUUACGCGACAUGGAAAUUGCCAUCUGCUUCAUGCUAGGCAGGUCGAAUUGAAUUGGCUCACCCACAAUAAUCUCAAUCUUCUUACAACACAAGGGAACAAGAGGUCUCCUCCUCGAAGCCACGAUGGACAAUGGGCAG
RNAcentral lists this unclassified non-coding RNA (206 nucleotides) under Hevea brasiliensis (rubber tree). Lineage: Eukaryota; Viridiplantae; Streptophyta; Magnoliopsida; Malpighiales; Euphorbiaceae. The record is from RNAcentral.